This 424-nucleotide ribosomal RNA is filed under the name uncultured bacterium. Its description in RNAcentral is "bacterial SSU rRNA". It matches the Rfam family "Bacterial small subunit ribosomal RNA", at positions 608 to 1030 of the family's 1533-position model. The record is from RNAcentral.
CUUAACCGGGGAAUGGCGCAUGAAACUGGCGAACUAGAGUACGGAAGAGGGAGGUGGAAUUCCAGGUGUAGCGGUGAAAUGCGUAGAUAUCUGGAGGAACACCGGUGGCGAAGGCGGCCUCCUGGUCCGAUACUGACGCUGAGACGCGAAAGCGUGGGUAGCAAACAGGAUUAGAUACCCUGGUAGUCCACGCUGUAAACGAUGGGCACUAGGUGUCCGGGGUAUUGACCCCCUGGGUGCCGCAGUUAACGCAUUAAGUGCCCCGCCUGGGGACUACGGUCGCAAGACUAAAACUCAAAGGAAUUGACGGGGGCCCGCACAAGCGGUGGAGCAUGUGGUUCAAUUCGACGCAACGCGAAGAACCUUACCUGGGCUAGACAACGGCGGACCGCUCCAGAGAUGGGGUUUUCCCUUCGGGGACCGC